AUGAAAGUAGUAGCUUGGAACUUUCAGGGACUGGGGAAUAGCCCGGAAGUUCGGGGGCUUCUGUAUCUUCAGAAGCGGGAGGACGCCGACAUCCUCUUCUUGUCGGAAACCAAGAUGGGUGAUAGGAGAAUGGAGAAAUUCAAGUGGAUGUUAGGAAUGAGUAAUAUGGCCGUAAGAUCCUAUGAAGGAAAAACUGGAGGUCUGGCUCUACUUGGAAGAAAGAGAUAA
RNAcentral lists this ribosomal RNA (228 nucleotides) under Triticum aestivum (bread wheat). Its description in RNAcentral is "partial small subunit ribosomal RNA". The record is from RNAcentral. Lineage: Eukaryota; Viridiplantae; Streptophyta; Magnoliopsida; Poales; Poaceae.